Molecule: long non-coding RNA, 635 nt
Organism: Puma concolor (puma)
Lineage: Eukaryota; Metazoa; Chordata; Mammalia; Carnivora; Felidae
Source: RefSeq, a predicted model, not a curated record
UUACAUCCGGGAAGCGCCGGGCUUAGGUUACGAGGUUGAGGUACGUUGUAUUUUGUGCACUAUGGUGAUAAUUGAGGCAGAAGUUUUUGGCCUAGUUAAGAUGCACGAGGUUCAGGGAUCUUGUAGUGAUCGGUCUACGACAGCUUUGGAAACCUCUAGGUUCGAAAACCUGAGGUAUUCUUUUGAUCACGCGGCGGCCACGUGCAACCCUGGCGCUGAGUCAGAAGUCGAGCGCGCACGGGUCACGGGCCCUCCGACAAAGGAUCGGUGCACCUGAUGACCGGCAAAGGUCGCGAAUUCCGCUGUCGGUGUCAAGUGGCCAUCUUGAAGCUACUCCGCCACUGUUAAAUAAAUAGUGACACCGAAUCCUGAUACCCGCCACAUUUAGAUCCAGAAAGAAGCUGAACUAAUCGUUCCAAUGGAUGACAGGAAACAUGACAAGAUAAUCAAGAAAUUCAAAAUGUAUGGGUGAAGUCCUGUUUAUUUAGAAUCUUGUGGUGCACUGCCAAACGUGAUUUUUUUUUAAUCGCAACAUGUUGCAUAUUGAGUGGUGAAUAAUCUGUAAACUAUCAAGUUGGUGGUCUCCGUAUAGGCCAGAAUAUUACUUCGGCGUAAGUAUGACAUUUAGUAGAGAA